CUGCUAGUGCCCCUCUUCAGGAAAGUAGCAACUUGGAAUAAAAUCUGGCACGCCUCAGGUUUCUGGGGAGAGGGGAUGUUUGUUUCCUUGCCUUCCUUUGGCUGCCUACAUGU
Small nucleolar RNA from Balaenoptera acutorostrata (minke whale), 113 nucleotides. RefSeq annotates it as small nucleolar RNA SNORA67. The record is from RefSeq and is a predicted model, not a curated record. The transcript has a single exon. NCBI's taxonomy places the organism in Eukaryota, Metazoa, Chordata, Mammalia, Artiodactyla, Balaenopteridae.